AAGUCGUAACAAGGUAACCGUAGGUGAACCUGCGGUUGGAUCAUUAAAAAAAAUUAUCCAAUUUUUAAGGUUAUUUUCAUUUUGAUUGUAAAAAUAUAUUAAUUUUUUUACAUGAAAAAAAGAAAAUCUCCUUAAUUUACACACCUAUGUGAACAUUUUAAAUGUUUUUUUGGUAGUUUUUUAUAUAUUAAUUUUUAUUUUUUUUGGGUUGUUAAUUUUAGAAAGUUUUUUCUUUCUUUAUUUAUUAAUCUAAAAGAAACAAAAAAAAAAGAUUUAAAACUGCCAAAAUGUUAUAUUAACCCCAUUAUUAUUUUUUUGAACUGAUUUCUUUUUUAUUCUUUGAUCUUUAAAAUUUUUUUUGAAGUGAAAAAGUCUCAAAUGAAAAAAACAACUUUUGACAACGGAUCUCUUGGUUCUC
This 418-nucleotide unclassified non-coding RNA is filed under the name fungal sp. Its description in RNAcentral is "partial internal transcribed spacer region". The stretch from base 1 to 46 matches the Rfam family "Eukaryotic small subunit ribosomal RNA", at positions 1786 to 1831 of the family's 1831-position model. The record is from RNAcentral. Lineage: Eukaryota; Fungi.